CGGACGGGUGAGUAACGCGUAGGAAUCUACCCAGUAGUGGGGGACAACCAGAGGAAACUCUGGCUAAUACCGCAUAAUCCCUACGGGGGAAAAGAGGGCCUCUUCUUGAAAGCUCUUGCUAUUGGAUGAGCCUGCGUGAGAUUAGCUAGUUGGUAGGGUAAAGGCCCACCAAGGCGACGAUCUCUAGCUGGUCUGAGAGGACGAUCAGCCACACUGGGACUGAGACACGGCCCAG
This 235-nucleotide ribosomal RNA is filed under the name uncultured bacterium. RNAcentral describes it as "partial 16S ribosomal RNA". It matches the Rfam family "Bacterial small subunit ribosomal RNA", at positions 99 to 334 of the family's 1533-position model. The record is from RNAcentral.